This 745-nucleotide ribosomal RNA is filed under the name uncultured bacterium. Its description in RNAcentral is "bacterial SSU rRNA". It matches the Rfam family "Bacterial small subunit ribosomal RNA", at positions 80 to 857 of the family's 1533-position model. The record is from RNAcentral.
CAAUCCAUGAGUACAGUGGCGUACGGGUGAGUUAACACGUGGGUAAUCUACCUCUUAGUGGGGAAUAACCAGGGGAAACUCUGGCUAAUACCGCAUAAGCCUGAGAAGGGAAAGCAGCAAUGCGCUGAGAGAGGAGCCCGCGGCCGAUUAGCUAGUUGGUGGGGUAAGAGCCUACCAAGGCAGAGAUCGGUAGCCGGCCUGAGAGGGCACACGGCCACACUGGCACUGAAACACGGGCCAGACUCCUACGGGAGGCAGCAGUGGGGAAUCUUGCACAAUGGGGGAAACCCUGAUGCAGCGACGCCGCGUGAGCGAUGAAGCCCUUCGGGGUGUAAAGCUCUUUCGUCAGGGACGAUAAUGACGGUACCUGGAGAAGCAGCUGCGGCUAACUACGUGCCAGCAGCCGCGGUAAUACGUAGGCAGCAAGCGUUGUUCGGAGUUACUGGGCGUAAAGGGUGUGUAGGCGGUUCUUUAAGUUUGGUGUGAAACCUCCCGGCUCAACUGGGAGGGUGCGCCGAAUACUGAGGGACUAGAGUACGGGAGAGGAAAGUGGAAUUCCUGGUGUAGCGGUGAAAUGCGUAGAUAUCAGGAGGAACACCGGUGGUGUAGACGGCUUUCUGGACCGUAACUGACGCUGAGACACGAAAGCGUGGGUAGCAAACAGGAUUAGAUACCCUGGUAGUCCACGCCCUAAACGAUGCAUAUUUGGUGUGGGCAGUUCAUUCUGUCCGUGCCGGAGCUAACG